Molecule: ribosomal RNA, 372 nt
Filed under: uncultured organism
Description: partial 16S ribosomal RNA
Rfam family: Bacterial small subunit ribosomal RNA
Source: RNAcentral
GUAGGUGGCAAGCGUUGUCCGGAAUUAUUGGGCGUGAAGCGCGCGCAGGCGGUCCUUUAAGUCUGAUGUGAAAGCCCACGGCUCAACCGUGGAGGGUCAUUGGAAACUGGGGGACUUGAGUACAGAAGAGGAAAGCGGAAUUCCAAGUGUAGCGGUGAAAUGCGUAGAGAUUUGGAGGAACACCAGUGGCGAAGGCGGCUUUCUGGUCUGUAACUGACGCUGAGGCGCGAAAGCGUGGGGAGCAAACAGGGAUUAGAUACCCUGGUAGUCCACGCCGUAAACGAUGAGUGCUAAGUGUUAGGGGGUUUCCGCCCCCUUAGUGCUGCAGCUAACGCAUUAAGCACUCCGCCUGGGGAUACGGCCGCAAGGCUG